Molecule: long non-coding RNA, 508 nt
Filed under: Gossypium raimondii (Peruvian cotton)
Lineage: Eukaryota; Viridiplantae; Streptophyta; Magnoliopsida; Malvales; Malvaceae
Description: long non-coding RNA (GRAI_LNC009957)
Source: RNAcentral
CUAAAACGAGUUCCACAAACUCAGCUGAGGAAACUUCGACUACUCUCACAACCUCAGGUGUGGAAACUCCUACCAUUCCUGGAAUGUUGGGUAGGGAAACUCUGACCAUUCCUACUAUUAUGUGUGAGGAAACAACCAUUCCUGCAACCUUAGGUCAAGAAACUCCUACCCUUCCUGCAACCUUGGGUGAAGGAACUCAUAGUAUUCCCUCAACCUCGAGUGAAGAAAAUCAUAUCAUUCCCACUAACCUGGAUGAAGAAACUCCUACUGAUCCAGUGACCUUGGCAGAGGAAAGGCCAAGUAUUCCUGAAACCUUGGGUGAAGAAACCCCAACCGUUCCUCUGACAUUCAGUGAAGAAACUCCGGUUAUUCCUCCAUCAUUCAGCGAAGGAGCUACUAUUCCUCCUUCCUUCAAUGAGGGAAGUCCUACUGUUCCUGUAACAUUGGGUCCAGAAACUCAGACCAUUCCUACAACCACGGGUGAGGAAACUGCAAACAUUCCUGCAAC